This 253-nucleotide ribosomal RNA is filed under the name uncultured bacterium. Its description in RNAcentral is "partial 16S ribosomal RNA". It matches the Rfam family "Bacterial small subunit ribosomal RNA", at positions 524 to 776 of the family's 1533-position model. The record is from RNAcentral.
AACGUAGGAGACAAACGUUAUCCGGAAUUAUUGGGCGUAAAGAGCUCGUAGGCGGUUUGUCGCGUCUGCCGUGAAAGUCCGGGGCUCAACUCCGGAUCUGCGGUGGGUACGGGCAGACUAGAGUUCGGUAGGGGAGACUGGAAUUCCUGGUGUAGCGGUGAAAUGCGCAGAUAUCAGGAGGAACACCGGUGGCGAAGGCGGGUCUCUGGGCCGAAACUGACGCUGAGGAGCGAAAGCGUGGGGAGCAAACAGG